GCUGUAGCUCAGGGGCUGUACACCUGCCUUGCAUGCAGAAGGUCCCAGGUUCAAAACCUGGCAUCUCCA
Molecule: non-coding RNA, 69 nt
Organism: Podarcis lilfordi (Lilford's wall lizard)
Lineage: Eukaryota; Metazoa; Chordata; Lepidosauria; Squamata; Lacertidae
Source: the annotation of a GenBank genome assembly